CCCUUAGAUGUUCUGGGCCGCACACGCGCUACACUGAAGGAGGCAGCGUGUACUCCUGGAUCGAAAGAUUUGGGUAACCCGCGAAUCUCCUUCGUGCUAGGGAUUGAGGUUUGCAAUUAUCCUUCAUGAACGAGGAAUUCCCAGUAAGUGCAAGUCAUAAGCUUGCGCUGACUACGUCCCUGCCCUUUGUACACACCGCCCGUCGCUACUACCGAUUGAGCAAACCGGUGAAUAGUUCGGACCGUCGGCCUUCUCGGUUUACCGCGUUGGCAGUACGGAAAGUCCAGUGAACCUUNUNGCUUAGNGGAAGGAGAANUCGUANCA
Molecule: ribosomal RNA, 324 nt
Filed under: uncultured eukaryote
Lineage: Eukaryota
Description: partial 18S ribosomal RNA
Rfam family: Eukaryotic small subunit ribosomal RNA
Source: RNAcentral